Non-coding RNA from Schistosoma rodhaini, 44 nucleotides. NCBI's taxonomy places the organism in Eukaryota, Metazoa, Platyhelminthes, Trematoda, Strigeidida, Schistosomatidae. The record is from Rfam.
ACCAGCUGACGAGUCCUAAAUAGAACGAAACGCGCAUCCUGGAU